Molecule: long non-coding RNA, 732 nt
Organism: Pseudophryne corroboree (corroboree frog)
Lineage: Eukaryota; Metazoa; Chordata; Amphibia; Anura; Myobatrachidae
Exons: 3
Source: RefSeq, a predicted model, not a curated record
GGGGGGGGGCGGCGGGCGUGCGUGCGUGCGGCCCCUGCCCUGACAGCAGUGAGUGGCGUGCAGUAACAGCGGGGAGGAAGGUGCACAUCGGGAUCCUGCAGCAUGAAACAAGAACCCCUUCGGAGCGCAGCAGGCCACACUGAAAAGGGUGCAUACCCGGUGCGGUGCUCUGCAUCCCGGGUGGUGCCGAAGAUGUGGAGUGUCGGAGGUGGCAGAAGCGCCGCAGCUUGGGCAUCCUCUGGAUAACUCUGGUUGAAUUGUCUUAACAAUCAAGGGAGUUUUCUUCUGCUUUGCGUGAAUUGACUUCUGGGCCUUUAUCCUGCCAUAGUCUGAAAUAUUACUGUGGUGAAAAUAAAGUAUUCUUUCCACAAACUCUUCGGGUUUGUCAACUGGAACAGAAUCUGGAAAGGGCAAGUAUGGGUACACGGAAACAGUGAAGAAACAAGAAAAAUGUUGGUGAAGCUGGUAGUUGAAGAGCCAAGUUGGAAGACAACCGGAUUAACCAUUGCCAACAUUUUAAAAAAGGACUAUGAAUUUGAUCAGGGGUAGGUAUGCUCGGUUUAAGAUUUUAAGCAAGGAGCCAAACUCCACCAUUAAUUUUGAUUGCAUUGAUUAGAAACUGCAUCAUCGGAUGAUGUAUAAAAACAUCUUUUCAGAAUGAACCCCAUGGAUGAGGGGAGGACUGGACAAAUGUUAAAUUCUGGUGGUCUGUCAACACCUUCUUUUUGUAUA